RNAcentral lists this transfer-messenger RNA (331 nucleotides) under Verrucomicrobiota bacterium. Its description in RNAcentral is "Verrucomicrobia bacterium (freshwater metagenome) partial transfer-messenger RNA". It matches the Rfam family "transfer-messenger RNA". Rfam says of the family: Bacterial tmRNA, also known as 10Sa RNA or SsrA, is named for its dual tRNA and mRNA-like properties. Its role is to liberate the mRNA from a stalled ribosome. The record is from RNAcentral. Lineage: Bacteria; Pseudomonadati; Verrucomicrobiota.
GCACAUUACGCGUUCUGCAUGCCGAGGAUGAUUCGUUGGCCUCGUUAAAAAUCGAGUCACAAAAAAUAAACGCAGAUUACGAAGAUCUAGCUCUCGCGGCCUAAGUCCGCGACGCUGACACACAGACGCCUGCUAUGUGUGAAGGCGACGCCAGCAGGAUGGACUCUUGGCGGAUCGACCGCGCCGAGGGUUGAAUCGAUUUCGUGGACGAUCGGGGGAAAGCAGCGUGCCUCACCGUGGCCGACUCCCUAAAUUUCAAGUGAGGUCAAGCAUGUGGACGGACGUCUGAUGCGGUUCGGGGACAGGGGUUCGACUCCCCUCGCCUCCACCU